CUUCACUCUGACCCUCAAAACUCUAAUAAUAAGCCCCAUGAAAGAUCUACCGAAGGAACAAGCUCCAUGAAGCUUCUGAAGAGUGGUGGGACUUGUCCAAGUGGUUUGAGCCUGAGUAGUUCAAUGGCACUUGCCGGCAAGGUCGGAACGGUGGUGGUGCACACCCCGAGCAUCUUUGAAUUUCUAUUUUUUCUUUUGUAGUUUCGCUUUUUUCUUUUUAAUCUUUAUUCCGAUUUUAUUUGGAACAAAAUGCCCCUCAACUCUGGCAGCCGGAAAAGUCGAGUGCUUGCUACUUUCGGCCCUCUUUUGAGAAAAAGUUAAUGUUGCUGAAGAAUCUUAGGCAGUAAGGGUUGCAGAAACCAUAGAAGGGCUCGAGAAAAUCAUCAAAGAAAAGGCCACGGAGCACAUGGUAGAAGAAAGUGAAUGACAAGGAGCAAGAAUCUGAACCCCAAGAAGUGGUAGGGACUGUAGAAGGAGAAAUGGUUGAAGUAGCAGAUGGAAAGGCGGAUAGUGAAAAAGAAAAGAAAAAGGGCGAAGGUAAGAAGGAUGAUGAUAAUGAAAGAAUUUCCUUAAAUUUUGAACCUGCCGUAUGUCUUCCUAAUGCUAAGUAAUGACAUAACUUAUGCGGAUUUUCAGAUCUUACAAUGUCAUGGCAUUUUCAUCUCUUAGCUAUCUGAAAAAGAAGAUAAUUGUUUAGUUACUGAGGAUGUUUUCCCAAAGGUUAACACUCUAUUUUACUCAACUUAUCCUUCAAAAGUCAUGAUGAUAAGUUAGUCUUCGUUAUUAGUCAUCAAAACCGUUCUCUGUUUCUAUAGAAGAACUCGAUGCUAUGCUUAGUCUGCUUUUCUUUCAAACAAUUCCUGCUAAAUCUUCCUUGGCUUACAAGUUCAUCAUUUAGGAUGAAUUCUUUUGAACGAGGUCUCAUUCCUAGUUUCCUUUAAGAAGGAAGUCUAAAGCCUUAUAGUGUGUCAAACUGCUCUAGAAAUGAUAUUUCCAAGUAUGAAGCAAGACUUUUGACCCAAAAAAAAAAAAGGAACGAAACAAGGCUCAUUUCGCACCUAUCCUAACCAGUUUUGAAUUCAGUCUUUCACAUUCCAUUUUCAUUCACAUGUACCGGACAAUGGUUAGAAAUCAGGAAAGCUUCCCUACGGUGGUCUGAGCAUGAAAAUUCUCAGAAAACAGUGAGCGGUAAUUCCAGAGGAGCUACAGACGGAAAAAGUGCCCAUUGCCUCUGUAGGCAAGAAACAUCGAGGAAGAUGCACCUCAAGCCCACAACUGUUGGGUGGGUUGAUCCUAAGGGGGAGACUGUGAGAGUGGAAGGAGAAGAUGAGAGGGUGAAUGCUGCUUGAAGAGAAGAUGAAUGGAACCGAGGGCAAUUUGAGUAAGAAGAGAAAGUAGAAGCAAGCAAAGAAUGCUGCAGAAGCACCUAUGGUGCUGCGAAAGGGUAAGAGAAAGGGAGAAACAGUGGAGGUUGCUCCAUCUCCAGCGAAAAAGAGGCCAAAGAGUCAGGGUGAGUCAAGUCAGAAUGUUGAAAACUCUGGGAGGCUUGAGUUAUUAAUGUAACGGUGUUAGAUGGUCUAAAGAGUUGCAGGAGAAUGCAAUAGCUUUUGAGAGACAGCUAAAGCUGUUCAGAAGGUAGACUUUCUACAGAAGAUGGCGUGUGACUAACAGAUUCAGUCUCUUUCGUGCUUUGAUGUGACCAAGUUUACCUUCAGCAAACCCAUCUCCAAACCUCCCUAAACCUUGCUUGAAAAAGGAAGAAAACAUGAUACUUUUGAAAUGAGAAAGCUUAUGUGUUUGUCUUUGACUCUAUCAGUUUCUGUUUCCUUUGUCUUUAGUCGUAGAACAAUCGGGAUCAACAAACUGUUGUGAAUUGGGUGUUUUUACUCAUUUCAAUGUAGCUGUAUGUUCUAUCCUGACUCCUCUUGGUUAUUCAACAAACUACAUGUUUGUUGCCUAUUAGCAUAUACCUUGUGAAUUACAUCGUUUACAUCAUUACACUCUCAUCUGUUGCAUCCACGGAAGUAGUCAAAUCUGCAGAUGUAGGCAUUGAGUCUGCAGAAGCACCAAGGAACAAGUGCAGGACCACGUCGAAACUGCAAAAAUGGGGUAAUCCGUGUCGAAUCUCGUGCUCGCCGACAACAUCCAGAAAACGGAUGUGCUUAAAACUUUAUAGGUUCUUUAUGCUCUAACUUGUUUAGUUUACGUAAUUAUGCGUCGCUUCUCAUAAUUGAGCUUCAUGUAAAUUAAAUAACAUUGUAGAAGAAAGAGCUGUUACAAAUUUAUGUAUCUUUUGCAAAA
Molecule: long non-coding RNA, 2301 nt
Organism: Syzygium oleosum
Lineage: Eukaryota; Viridiplantae; Streptophyta; Magnoliopsida; Myrtales; Myrtaceae
Exons: 2
Source: RefSeq, a predicted model, not a curated record